This is a long non-coding RNA of Mirounga angustirostris (Northern elephant seal), 5009 nucleotides long. RefSeq lists it as uncharacterized. The record is from RefSeq and is a predicted model, not a curated record. The transcript is spliced from 3 exons. NCBI's taxonomy places the organism in Eukaryota, Metazoa, Chordata, Mammalia, Carnivora, Phocidae.
UCUGUGGCCAAGGAGCAGCGGGCAAGGGGCUAAGGGGAGGGGGGCCCCGUGCCAGCCAUUUAAAAAUGCCCCGUGGCAAUGAGGGGUGGCAGAGGCCCGGUCAAGUUAGUUGAGAAGCAAUGACACCCCCAACAAUCCCCUAAAUGGGCUGAGCCCCGUCUCCAGGCUGCAAGGAACCACACCUGGACCAGACCCCGGGAGAGCCUCCCGGAGCUUCCCAGGAAGACAGAGCUUCCCCCCGGCUGGGCUCAGCAAUAUUUCCUGAGGACAGUGGGGAGCAGGGAGGGGAAAUUGGCCCAUUUCUGGGAGCCACCCCCCAGACUGCCACCAGCCAGCACCAGGUAAGAAUCUGCCCUAUAAGAGUCCAAGGCCACUGUUCAACCGUCUCCUUUGACAGAAGGGAAAUGGAGCCACAAAGAGGGGAAGUGCCUGGGAGAAGUGAUCACACCAGUUGGUGAUAGAACUCGGGUCUCCCAAGUGGCCCCCUGUCUACCGACUGGGGAACAAGAGUAAGAAGGAGCCUCUCAUGGAGCAAGGAGAAUAGGAAGGCUACCAAAACCCUUCUCCUUUGAAGGAGACCAGGUGUCAGGGCCAGCACUGUCUGCCUGCUGGGCAAGUAAGAAAGACUCAAGGGAAGAGUUCCCAGGGCUAAGAGAGCCAAGAGGACACCCUUCCGGCAUCUCUGCCCCUCCUCCCAGCCCACCAGCACCUCCUCCAGGAAGCCCUCCCAGCUUCCCCCUGGGACAGGAACCUCUUUGUCCUCUAAGACCUUGGCAGUCCUUUCUCAGGCUCUCUCUUGUGCCACUUGGGUCUGCCCACUAUUCACCUUGCCAGGGACACUUUCCUUCCAUCUCAGUCUGAUUGCGCCCCUCCAGGGCAAGGACGCAGUCAGGUUCAGUCCCACCUCCCCUUAGCAGGUAGAAGACGCCCUAGGUUUGCUGAAUGUUCAGGUAAAAUGGUUAGACCCUGUCCCAAACCCAAAGGAUUGGUGAAGUGACUGGGGAAGGAGACAUUCAGCAUAGAGUUUAAAAUGAGGGCGCCGGGGCUGGCUGUUCUGAGUUAGGAACCCAGCUCAGCUCCUAACUCCAUGGCCUUGAAAAAUUCCCUUCCCACAGGGCCUUGGGGACACAAGGGCGUUAGCACGAUUAAAACAGUCAAUAAACAACUGUUCUUAUGACAGUCAGCAGCAGCAGAUUUUUUUCUAGAUACAAGGGAACAGAAUGACACAGCCUAUAGCCAGAGGAGAGGGAGGCAAAUAGAUUCCCCUGGUCAAAGGCUGCUCAUCAAGCCCCUGUCCCUGCGUCAGAGUUUCUCCCACAGGAACGUGGGGCUGCCUCCCAUCUCCCUCCCGCCUCCACACCCAGGAGAGGCACCAUCUUCGCAGCAAUAUUCGGAGCUGGGUGGGCUGUGCUGGAAAUAGCCCGCGACUCCCCUGCUUCAGCCGGUGGUGCCGGUGGGAGCAUCCCCGCUCCAUCCUGGCCCUCCACGGGGCGGUGAGGACAUUGACCCAGCAGCCUCACCAGCCGUGCUGAAGGCUAAUGGCCACGGGGCGCCACUUCCCGAACCGCGGCCACUCAGAUACCCCCUUUCGUAUUUUUCCCCUCUCUGCAACCAGUCACAGCAUCUGUACAUUUAAGAUGAGUCAUUCGCACGUUUGUACAUUUGUACUGUCCGUGAACACCCGUAACACUGCCCAUCUCGAGGGGAUGAAGGGUGGAACCCCGACAGCAGCUCCUGGCUCCAAGCCGCACCCUGUCUCCCAGCCUGAGGUGCAGUGCUGCAUCUCUGGUCAGUUGGGAGUCUGAGAUGAAGCACUGUAGCUCGGGAAGGGAGAAGUUGUUCUGCAGCCAUCAGCCUGGACAUGGUAAGUGGUGGCGGUGCUUGGGGACACUGGGAAGGAUGGGAGCGUUUCCAGUGUCCGUGCGGUCGGCCGAGGAAGUUUCUGGACUCAAGUCCUACCCGUGCCACGAUCGGCUUCAUGAUACUUGGCCAAAUCCUGACUCCUCCGUGCACCCCAGUCGGUCCAUCUGUAACAGAGGUGUUGGGGCAUUUGGUGGCGGCCAGUGCCCAACACCCUGCCUCGGCUUUCUCUUUCUGAGCCCGUGGUGGACCCUGCUCAUCAGCCAGGGCAUCCUUUCUUGAAGAGUUCAGAUGCACCUUCAGAAUCCUUCUCAACACCAAGUCCUGGAUAGCUACUGUUAAUGAUUCAGAGCUGAAACCCAUUUGUCAGCUGAAACCCAUUUGAAAUCCUUCUCAACACCAAGUCCUGGAUAGCUACUGUUAAUGAUUCAGAGCUGAAACCCAUUUGUCAGCUGAAACCCAUUUGUCAGCUGAAACCCAAUUUGUGGAUUGGACAAUUCCUAAAAACCCUUGCAUCCCUGAAGACAAAAGUCCUGAGCUUUGAGUCAGGCUCCUCAUUCUUUGGGUGCCUAACCUUGGCUCCAGGCUAUUGCCUCAGCCAGUCCAGGCUUUACAUACAUGUCCAGCCUGUCUCAGAGGCUUCCGACAAGCAAGGAAUAGCAGAGAAUCACCGGGCUAAGCACAAUCUUAUUUAACCUCCUGACAAGCUUGGAAGGUGGCCAGUGUUAUUGACCCAUUUUACAGAUGAGAAGACUGAGGCUCAGUUAAGCAAUUCACCCACGGCCAUGCAAUGAUUGUGUCAGCCAGGGUUGUAGCCUAAUCUGUCUGCUUUCAGGUUCGUGUUCUUACCCCAGUCCAGUACAUGUGAUUUUAGAACUGGGGGGUGGGGGAGCAGGAGGAGAAUAUACUAAAUAAAUCUGGUCUUCUCCUUUCAUCUUGGGUCGCUUUUCACAGACAGACCUAGAGAGUUUCCACUGACCCCAUGGACUGCCUUGCUCCUAUCCCUCCUCCCAAACUGUAUCUGUCACACCUGAUCCAGGAGGUCCUCUCCUCUCCCAUUUGACAGUUGAGGAAAGCUGAGGCUAAGGGGCUUGCUGGAGAUCCCAGGGAGAAAGUUGCCGCAGACCGCGAACCGGAUCUGCCCAGGGUUUAGACUCAAACCCUCCCUCUGGCCGGAGACUGAAGAACACACAGCCCCCAGCAGUCAUGGGGGGAGGGGGGCUGGGAUGCCACCAGAUGGUUUCUGGUCAACAACACGGCCUUUGACUACAGGAAAGGUACUUUCCAGGGCACUUGAAGUUCCAGUCACUGCUCCUGCUGGAGCAAUCAGCCAGUCCCGCGAUCCGUGGCGUCCACACUGACUCCUGCAGUUGGGACUGGACGCAGAAGAAGACUCUCGCCAGUCCUUAGGGAUGUGGCAGGGCCUUGGUGCUGAAGGCCCCUCUCUCACCUUGUCCUCACGGUCCAGUUUUCCCAGGAAUCCCUUAGAUGCUAAGAUGGGGAUUCCUGGAAAUACUGUUCUUGAGGUCAUGGUUUAGCAGCUGGACUCACCUGCCCCCCACCCAGAGCUGUCCCCGUGGGACCUCAGCUCAAGCUCGGGAUGAGGCUCAAGUAGGAGGCCGUGCGCUGGAGGUAAGAGGGCUUGCACACGGUGUUCUUGACCUUUAAGCUGCUUUUUCUUUCCAUUUUGUCCAUUUCGUAACAUUCCUAUGAGACUGGAUGUGGGAACCUCACCACGGCUGUACUCUUGGGAAAUUUGUCCAGGCACUCAGCUGAGGAGUGAUUGAACCAGGUCACCAUAAAGUAUGUGCUUCUUCCGGUCCCCACCCCAGCCCCUCACCCCACUUCCCAGCAUGCCCUGUGAUGGGGGCCAAGAUAUGGUAUCUACAUUAUUGAUAAACUAAUAAACGCACAUGAGUUUAUUUUAGUAGUUUAUUAAAUCAGUUAGAUAAACUAAAAACCAUAAGUCUUAGUUCGAUUUGCAAUGCAACCACAGAAAAAUGAAAAUUUUUUUCAUCAAAGCCCAGAAGACAAAAAAAAGCUCAGAGCGCCCUCUUGUGGUGACACCUGCCUCUCCUUCCUUCCUGGAGCCCUGGGGCUUCUCUGACACACACAACACACAUUCGGACAUUCCUUUUGCCCCGAUCACUUUGCGCCAGGGAACGAGUUAGCCCGCCCAUCAUCUCAUUACCUAUGGUGCCUCCAUCACUAAGAGUUUAGUCCUACUUCUAUAGCCUGGCUUCGUCCUCAAAGCUCUCAGUGUGGUUGGUGAGGCUGAGAGGUGAAGUGACCAGCCCAAGGUCACCCAGGCAGCCAAAGGCAGAGCCAGAAUUGAUUCCAGGUUCAGUGGCCUGUGGUAAUUCCUUAGCCAAAAGCAAAAACUACAAAAAAAAAAAAAAAAAAGGAGAAGAAGAAGAAGAUGACUGUCUGAAUAGACACAGGGAAUGCCCCAGACCUGAGGUGGUCCUGCUGCUGGACUAAAACUUCUUGCAAACUCUUCCUAGUGCUUUUCAUGGAGAUGGUAGGGACGGUAGGUGCCAUGACCCUAGAAUCCUCACCCGUGGAUCUCAUCCCCAUACUCCCAGGGACCAGAUGGCUCUCACAUGGGGCUCCGGCUGUCUUCCUAGCAGACCAUAUUGAGGACCUUCAUGAAGGAUGAGAUCCCCUCCUCCUCCUAUAUAGAGUGGAGCUGGCCUGACCACGGAGAUAGCUGACUUGCUCCUGAUAAAUAAUAAUAAUUAUUAUUAUUAUUAUUAUUAUUAUUAUUAUUAUUAUAGUGUCCAUUCAUUGACUGUUUACAAUUUGCCAGGCACUCCGCUAAUCACUUCCCAGGCAUUGUCUCAUUCAGUCCUUACUACAACCCAGUGAGGUAGGUUCUAUCCUUUACCCUAUUUCACAGACGAGGAAGCCAAGGCUCAGAGAGGUUAAGAGACUUGCAAGAUCACCCACCUAAUAAUAAGCUGGGAUCACAUCAAGUCUGUAUUUAUGCUUUUAACCUGCCCUUGCGCCCUCCCUCCCAUGGACUGGCCUACCGGUUGGCGGGCAGUCUGCCUGGGGCUUCCCCUGGGGGAGAGGGUAAAACAAUCCUUCGGUGAGACUCAAGUGGUCCAUCCUGUGCCCUGUGAUUCUAAUAAAGUGCUGGAUCCGUG